This 494-nucleotide ribosomal RNA is filed under the name uncultured bacterium. RNAcentral describes it as "partial 16S ribosomal RNA". It matches the Rfam family "Bacterial small subunit ribosomal RNA", at positions 28 to 507 of the family's 1533-position model. The record is from RNAcentral.
GACGAACGCUGGCGGCGUGCUUAACACACGCAAGUCGAACGGUGAAGCGCCUUCCUUUUUGGUGGGUGUGGAUGAGUGGCGAACGGGUGAGUAACACGUGAGUAACCUGCCCCCUUCUUCUGGAUAACCGCAUGAAAGUGUGGCUAAUACGGGAUAUUCUGGGUCUGUCGCAUGAUGGGUCUGGGAAAGAUAUUGUUUCGGUGGGGGAUGGGCUCGCGGCCUAUCAGCUUGUUGGUGGGGUGAUGGCCUACCAAGGCGGUGACGGGUAGCCGGCCUGAGAGGGUGGACGGUCACACUGGGACUGAGACACGGCCCAGACUCCUACGGGAGGCAGCAGUGGGGAAUAGUGCACAAUGGGCGCAAGCCUGAUGCAGCGACGCCGCGGGAGGGAUGGAGGCCUUCGGGUUGUGAACCUCUUUCGCCAGUGAAGCAGGCCUGCCUCGUUUGUGGGUGGGUUGACGGUAGCUGGAUAAGAAGCGCCGGCUAACUACGUG